Molecule: unclassified non-coding RNA, 248 nt
Filed under: Hevea brasiliensis (rubber tree)
Lineage: Eukaryota; Viridiplantae; Streptophyta; Magnoliopsida; Malpighiales; Euphorbiaceae
Source: RNAcentral
ACGUAAUUCAACAUGGUUGACAUUGAUGAAGAAGACGAUGUUUUAUGUUGGUUCAAUAAAGUUUUUUAUUCUUUAAAAAGACUAUGUUUAAGUGGGGGAGAAUGGUAUGUCAAUUGUUGACACAACAUUGUUGGAUUGUUGCAAGCUGUUCUAACUUGUGGACGAGUUUUUUUCAAGUGGGGAAGUAUGAUACAGAACUAGAUUUUCAAUUUAAUAUUUCCUAAUCUAAUUAGGAUUUUAUUUUAGUG